This 340-nucleotide long non-coding RNA is filed under the name Pectinophora gossypiella (pink bollworm). Its description in RNAcentral is "uncharacterized LOC126380177". The record is from RNAcentral. Lineage: Eukaryota; Metazoa; Arthropoda; Insecta; Lepidoptera; Gelechiidae.
UUGUCGCGUCGCGUGUGAAGCAAUACUUGACAGAAACCUUAAGUGGGAUGACAUAAUUAUAAAGAAAAUCAAUAAGAGGAUGAACUCUUUUAAUGUUUAUAAAACAAUAGUAUGGAAGAAUUUUGAUGCAUCGUGGAGCAAUGGCAACAUAUUUGGGAGUUGUGAGUGACAACGAGCAGAUUACAUAACAAUGGGAGGAUAACAAGGGCCUUAACUGAAAAAACUGGUGAAUGUUCCCAAAUAAACCUCACAGAUGUAGAAGAAAGACAAAAUAAAUUUGUUUAUUUAUUUUAUUUCUGUUCCCUACUAAACUAGUAAUAAAACAUACUUGUUACAAAUA